CGUGUAGGCGGUUCGGUAAGUUGGAUGUGAAAGCUCCCGGCUCAACUGGGAGGGGACGUUCAAAACUGUUGGACUAGAGGGCGGAAGAGGGAGGUGGAAUUCCCGGUGUAGUGGUGAAAUGAGUAGAUAUCGGGAGGAACACCAGUGGCGAAGGCGGCCUCCUGGGCCGCACCUGACGCUCAGACGCGAAAGCUAGGGUAGCAAACG
This 207-nucleotide ribosomal RNA is filed under the name uncultured bacterium. RNAcentral's name for it is "partial 16S ribosomal RNA". It matches the Rfam family "Bacterial small subunit ribosomal RNA", at positions 568 to 774 of the family's 1533-position model. The record is from RNAcentral.